GAUGAACGCUGGCGGCGUGCUUAAUACAUGCAAGUCGAGCGGUAAGGUUCUGCACUUAGUAUUUGAACGGAUAAGUCCCUAUAAGGAAACUGUCUGAAAACGUUAACUCUGGCUAGAGUAAACGGUCGAAUUUUAAGUGUAGAAUACACGAGCGGCGGACGGGUGAGUAACGCGUAAGAAUGUACCCCAAAGUGAGGGAUAAUUCCGGGAAACCGGGACUAAUACCGCAUGUGCUCUUCGGAGUAAAGCUUUAUGCGCUUUGGGAACAGCUUGCGUCUGAUUAGCUAGUUGGUAAGGUAACGGCUUACCAAGGCGACGAUCAGUAGCUGGUCUGAGAGGAUGACCAGCCACACUGGGACUGAGACACGGCCCAGACUCCUACGGGAGGCAGCAGUAGGGAAUUUUCCACAAUGGGCGAGAGCCUGAUGGAGCAACGCCGCGUGCAGGAUGAAGGCCUUAGGGUCGUAAACUGCUUUUGUCUGUGACGAAUAUGACGGUAACAGACGA
RNAcentral lists this ribosomal RNA (507 nucleotides) under uncultured bacterium. RNAcentral's name for it is "bacterial SSU rRNA". It matches the Rfam family "Bacterial small subunit ribosomal RNA", at positions 28 to 485 of the family's 1533-position model. The record is from RNAcentral.